Molecule: ribosomal RNA, 363 nt
Filed under: Parapenaeus longirostris
Lineage: Eukaryota; Metazoa; Arthropoda; Malacostraca; Decapoda; Penaeidae
Description: partial 16S ribosomal RNA
Rfam family: Bacterial large subunit ribosomal RNA
Source: RNAcentral
UAGCAUAAUCAUUAGUCUUUUAAUUGGAGGCUUGUAUGAAUGGUUGGACAAAAAGCAAACUGUCUCAAUUAUAAUAAUUGAAUUUAACUUUUAAGUGAAAAGGCUUAAAUAAACUGGGGGGACGAUAAGACCCUAUAAAGCUUUACAAUUAUUUAAUUAAAUUAUAAAUUGUUAGUAUAACUUAAUUAAUUGAUAUUUGUUUCGUUGGGGCGACGAGAAUAUAAUUUUAAGUAACUGUUCUUUUAUGGUUAAUUACAGAUUUAUUUGGGUAAAAAUUGAUCCUUUAUUAGAGAUUAAAAGAUUAAGUUACUUUAGGGAUAACAGCGUAAUCUUCUUUGAGAGUUCAUAUCGACAAGAGGGGUU